GACGUAGGGUGCGAGCGUUGUCCGGAUUUAUUGGGCGUAAAGAGCUCGUAGGCGGCUUGUUACGUCGGCUGUGAAAACCCGCGGCUCAACCGCGGGCCUGCAGCCGAUACGGGCAGGCUAGAGUUCGGUAGGGGAGACUGGAAUUCCUGGUGUAGCGGUGAAAUGCGCAGAUAUCAGGAAGAACACCAAUGGCGAAAGCAGCUUUCUGGGACGGUACUGACGCUGAGACGCGAAAGCGUGGGGAGCGAACAGG
This 253-nucleotide ribosomal RNA is filed under the name uncultured bacterium. Its description in RNAcentral is "partial 16S ribosomal RNA". It matches the Rfam family "Bacterial small subunit ribosomal RNA", at positions 524 to 776 of the family's 1533-position model. The record is from RNAcentral.